This 450-nucleotide ribosomal RNA is filed under the name uncultured bacterium. Its description in RNAcentral is "partial 16S ribosomal RNA". It matches the Rfam family "Bacterial small subunit ribosomal RNA", at positions 354 to 796 of the family's 1533-position model. The record is from RNAcentral.
GUGGGGAAUUUUGGACAAUGGGCGCAAGCCUGAUCCAGCAAUGCCGCGUGCAGGAAGAAGGCCUUCGGGUUGUAAACUGCUUUUGUACGGAACGAAACGGUCCGGGUUAAUACCCUGGGCUAAUGACGGUACCGUAAGAAUAAGCACCGGCUAACUACGUGCCAGCAGCCGCGGUAAUACGUAGGGUGCAAGCGUUAAUCGGAAUUACUGGGCGUAAAGCGUGCGCAGGCGGUUUUGUAAGACAGGCGUGAAAUCCCCGGGCUCAACCUGGGAAUUGCGCUUGGGACUGCAAGGCUGGAGUGCGGCAGAGGGGGAUGGAAUUCCGCGUGUAGCAGUGAAAUGCGGAGAUAUGCGGAGGAACACCGAUGGCGAAGGCAAUCCCCUGGGCCUGCACUGACGCUCAUGCACGAAAGCGUGGGGAGCAAACAGGAUUAGAUACCCCUGUAGUCC